GCGCGGGCAAGGUUUCCAAGAGGCGACCUUAAUCUGAAAUUCACAUCAUUGGAGUAGCAUUGGGCCUUCAUUGCUCUCCCCCAAACAAACAUUUACUCAGCAGAUUGCCAAGCAAAGAUACUGGAGACACAGGGCUGCUAGCUCGGUGUCAACAAAACUGUUUGCAGGUCAGUGUCUCUCAAGUCAUUCGUAUGAUCCAUGGCCAGGGUCGAAAUGGGAGUUUUCACAGACCCACUUUGCCAGUUCGUAUAUAGGACCAGGAUGGAUAGAGAUGCCAAAGAACUGAGUCAGAAAGGUAAUUUUAUCCAAUGAAUUCUACCUCAUUUGUGUAUCUUUUUUUUUUUCAUUUGUGUAUCUUAACAGCACAAACUUAUCCUUGAUAUUGUUAGCCCAUCCCUUUUUGCACUCUAUUUUUGAGUGUCUCCUUGUACUUUAUAUGUAGCAGAAUUUGAAAAAUCUUGUGAUUUACCCUAACGAAGGAAGUAUCGUAUAUACACAUAAAAGGGGGAACCCAUGGAUUCCCUUCUCAAUCCACUCUUACCAGCAAAACAAAUCAGAAACCUAAGUGGUUUCAUGGCACUGUCAAAAGAGUUUCCCUGACAGUAGUGAGCUUGAAGCCAAACAGUUGUGAAGGUUUUUCUUGGUCAUUGUUUCUUUCAUCAGCAUACAAAAGUAAAAGGACAUUUUUUUUUUUGAAGGCAGCUUCUCUGUCUGACACCCAGAAGAGGUCCCCACCUGAGGAGGAAAAGCCUCAGACUUUUCCUUCAUGUUUGCAUUGCACCUUUUAGGGAAGCAAUAGCUAAUCAAUACAAACGGAUGAGCGUGACAUGUAAGAUGUUCAGCGUUUACCUCAUUUUGUCAGUGAUAGGAAUGUAAGCAAUGUCAGCGCACAUCUACCGUUAUGUAGAUUCUACUGCUAGCUUUUGCUGAUUAGUUCAUCCUCUGCUAUGUUACAGAUAGGUUAGGGGAGAGAGAGAGAGAGAGAGAGAGAGAGAGAGAGAGAGAGAGAGAGAGAGAGAGAUUACUUUCAAAUGUGAAAUCAGGUCAACACUUUAAUCCAAACUCAAUACAUUUAGCACACAUAUCUAAAAGGUUCAGACAUACAAACUGAUUAGAAUACCCUUACCGCCUAUGGGGGAAAGUACAGUACAGAAAAGCUGUGUCUUUACAUCAGCCAACCAGAUCUUAGCAACUGCAUUUUAAUGUUUUUAGAUCACAAGAGUUGAAGGGGACUGCUGCAGAAAUCCCAGCUGAAAAUAUACCUCCUACAGUCAUGAUAUUCCUCCCUCAUUAUUCAAGUAAAACCUGGCAUCAUCCAGUUGCAAAAUCUUGUUAAUGGUAACAUGUAUACAGGUAUAAAAGUACACUGUAAGUUUAAAAAAAAAAAUUGUACCCAGUCAGGCCUGACAAA
Long non-coding RNA from Alexandromys fortis (reed vole), 1411 nucleotides. RefSeq lists it as uncharacterized. NCBI's taxonomy places the organism in Eukaryota, Metazoa, Chordata, Mammalia, Rodentia, Cricetidae. The record is from RefSeq and is a predicted model, not a curated record. The transcript is spliced from 2 exons.